AUGUGCUGGCAGUUGCUCUUUGGAGCACCCACUUCACUUCUCCCAUGUAGUUCCUGAGUGCAGGACUCUCCUGAAGAAGGGGCGUCUAAAAGGCCAGCCCAUGCAUCUUGUUCAGACCAGGCUGCUCCAUCUCCGCUAAGCCCAGGGAUCCACUUGUAUCUGAUGUCCUGCCCUUGGCAGUUUUCAACUCCAGAUGUAGGUCUGACUCCUAUUAGGCUACCAUUUCUUUGUGGGAAGACAGAACCUCGUCGCGACAUUUCUCAGAAGCCAUGACAUGUCCCUGCGGCUGGAGGCCUUUCAAGGGUGGCCCAGGAGGCCUCAAGGGCCCGGUGUGGCCUGCAAAGGAAGAGAACAGCUGUUCUCACGGAAGGAUCCAAAGGGUUCAAAGGCGAAGGGUGCCAUCUGCUUCCCCACUGAUUCAGAAGAUAAACAGGAGAAGUGUCCUGUUUCACCCAUAUUGCUGGUCCUGAUUUUUCAAUAGUGUCCCUACCCUGAAGCUCUUCCAUUGGUCAUCAUGGAGUUAGCUAACAGCCCAGGGAACUGGUCUCUUUUCCCUUUUCCCUUACCACCUGGAACUCACCUGGAAAGGGCAAUCAGCUGGCUCUAUAUCAGACGCCACCACCUGGUCUUUGAAGUUUCUGUCCUACCAGUGCCACAGCUCCCUCUCCCACUUCUGAACUACCUCCAAGAGAGACCAUCCUCAGCAGCCUAGUAUGUUAUGCUAGUCCUGGAAUGGUGUAUUCUGGAUGUCUACUCAAGGCCAAACCCCAGUAUUGCCUUUCGUUUCCCUAUUCAAGGCCAAGGCUAGAUUCUCUUCAUUGUCUCCAUUUCUCUUUCUCCAGAGCUCCUAUAGGGCAAGACACUGUUUCUCAUAUAUUUCUGGAUCCUUGGAGCUUAGCUCGGAGCUUGGCAUACAUGCCCAGCAUGAACUUUUCUGAAUAAAAUAAUUUCAAAUGCUGUAUACAGGAAAAAAAAAAAAAAAA
This 983-nucleotide long non-coding RNA is filed under the name Homo sapiens (human). RNAcentral's name for it is "spermatogenesis associated 8, transcript variant 3 (SPATA8)". The record is from RNAcentral. Lineage: Eukaryota; Metazoa; Chordata; Mammalia; Primates; Hominidae.